CGUAGAUCUAGUAGGAUUUUCAGUCCUCCUGAGAGAUACUUAGGUAUCAUAUAGAAGAUAUAGAGAAAAUAUUUCCUGUUGAAAAUGGGCUAUAUGGAGAUGACCCCAAAACCUACAAUGAGAUGAUAUUAGAUAUCAACUUCGAGAAAUAGUUAGAGACAAUGAAGUCAGAGAUUGACUCAAUGCAGUCAAACCCAGUCGGGAUCUUAGUAGAUCUACCAGA
RNAcentral lists this long non-coding RNA (223 nucleotides) under Elaeis guineensis (African oil palm). Its description in RNAcentral is "long non-coding RNA (EGUI_LNC035940)". The record is from RNAcentral. Lineage: Eukaryota; Viridiplantae; Streptophyta; Magnoliopsida; Arecales; Arecaceae.